GGGGGAUAAGCUUCAUUGUCGAGAGGGAAACAGCCCAGAUCACCGUUUAAGGCCCCAAAAUAAUUACUAAGUGAUAAAGGAUGUAAUAUUACAUAGACAACCAGGAGGUUAGCUUAGAAGCAGCUAUUUCCUUUAAAAAGUGCGUAAUAGCUUACUGGUCAAGUGAUUUUGCGCCGAAAAUGAAUGGGACUAAGUAAUUUGCCGAAGACGUGAGAAUUUUCAGUAGAAGAGCGUUCUGUUUUAGUUUGAAGCGGUAGCGAAAGCAGUCGUGGACUUAGCAGAAGUGAGAAUGUCAGCUUAAGUAACGAAAACAUUGGUGUAAAUCCAAUGCCCCGUAAAUCUAAGGGUUCCUUAGCUAGGUUCGUCCACUAAGGGUUAGUCAGAUCCUAAGGUUAGGUUUAAAAACGUAAUCGAUGGUCAACAGGUUAAUAUUCCUGUACUGUUCUUUGCUUAAUUAAGAGUGACGAAAAAGGCUAAGUCAGCCGAACAUUGGUUGUUUCGGUUUAAGUUCUCGAGGUAUUGGAAAUAUUAUAAAAAAUAUUUUUAGCUAAGGUUCGAAUACGAUAGAUACUAUGGUAUCGAAAGUGAAUUAUGUCAUGUUUCCAAGAAAAACUUUUGUAGUGUGUAGUAAAGAAUAUCUGUACCGUAAACUGACACAGGUAGAUUAGUAGAGAAUACUAAGGGGCGCGAGAUAACUCUUUCUAAGGAACUCGGCAAAAUGGCCCCGUAACUUCGGGAGAAGGGGUGCCUCAUUUUUGAGGUCGCAGUGAUCAGGUCCAAGCGACUGCUUACCAAAAGCACAGGUCUCCGCUAAGUUGAAAAACUAUGUAUGGGGGCUGACGCCUGCCCAGUGCCGGAAGGUUAAAGAAAUUGGUUAACAUUUAGUGAAGCUAGUGACUGAAGCCCUGGUGAACGGCGGUCGUAACUAUAACGAUCCUAAGGUAGCGAAAUUCCUUGUCGGGUAAGUUCCGACCCGCACGAAAGGCGUAACGAUUUGGAUACUGUCUCAGGAAGAGACUCGGUGAAAUAGAAUUGACUGUGAAGAUGCGGUCUACUUGCACUUGGACAGAAAGACCCUAUGAAGCUUUACUGUAACUUGAAAUUGGUUUUGGGCUUUUCUUGCGCAGAAUAGGUGGGAGGCGUUGAAUCUCUUUUUCGAAAGUUGAUGAGCUGUAAUGUGAGAUACCACUCUGGAGAAGUUAGAAAUCUAAUGGUAUUCUUUUAUCAAGAUACUUGACAGUUUCAGGCGGGCAGUUUUACUGGGGCGGUAGCCUCCUAAAAGGUAACGGAGGCGUACAAAGGUUUUCUCAGUCUGGACGGAAAUUAGUUUUAGAGUGUAAAGACAUAAGAAAGCUUGACUGUGAGACCUAUAAGUCAAACAGGGACUAAAGUCGGUCUUAGUGACCCGACGGUGCUGAGUGGAAAGGCCGUCGUUCAACAGAUAAAAGUUACUCUAGGGAUAACAGGCUGAUCUCCCCCAAGAGUUCAUAUCGACGGGGAGGUUUGGCACCUCGAUGUCGGCUCAUCGCAACCUGGGGCGGUAGUACGUCCCAAGGGUUGGGCUGUUCGCCCAUUAAAGCGGUACGUGAGCUGGGUUCAGAACGUCGAGAGACAGUUCGGUCCAUAUCCGGUGUGAGCGUUAGAGUAUUGAAAGGAGCUUUCCUUAGUACGAGAGGACCGGGAAGGACACACCACUGAUGUACCAGUUUUUGUGCCAACAGAAAACGCUGGGUAGUCACGUGUGGAGUGGAUAACUGCUGAAAGCAUAA
This 1769-nucleotide ribosomal RNA is filed under the name Euglena sp. Hongsung080504c. Its description in RNAcentral is "LSU rRNA". It matches the Rfam family "Bacterial large subunit ribosomal RNA", at positions 993 to 2782 of the family's 2925-position model. The record is from RNAcentral. Lineage: Eukaryota; Euglenozoa; Euglenophyceae; Euglenales; Euglenaceae.